Danio rerio (zebrafish) is the source of this 698-nucleotide non-coding RNA. Lineage: Eukaryota; Metazoa; Chordata; Actinopteri; Cypriniformes; Danionidae. The record is from Ensembl.
CACAGUGUUCAAUGGCAUACCUCUGCCUUCCCACUACUUACAGGCAGAGUGUGUAUCAGAGGGAGAAAGAGAGAGCAUGUGGCACUGGAGAGCCUUUUGAGCUUUUUCCCCCCUCACGGAGAAAUCAAGCAACACGAAGAGAAACAGAGACUUGCAAACUUAAAGGAAACUUCAGUUGGACUUUUCCCAGCUCUGCUAGACUUGAGUGGCGGAAUGGAUUUUCCUCUGAUACUUUGAAUGUCACGGCACAACUGUGGGCUUUUGGCACAGAAGGGAUCUUUUAAGUUGUGUUGACUGAGCGUGUGUGUGAGUGAGGCGCGUGCGUGUGUGACAGGAGCAAUGUCAGGUGUAACACGGAAAGGUUCUGGGAGACCAGGAUAUUAUUAUAGGCUCCUGGGUCGAACGAGGCUACAGAGACAACGCAGCCGCUCCAGGAGCAGAAGCAGAGUCACAAACAAUAAGGACUCUCCACCUGAGAGAACAGGGCGGAGACGUAGCAUACCGGGCUCCGCCCCUGACAAAGUCCCACCUACAAUGGAGCCCACAGCCGCCGCUGCUGCAACACCCUUCAGAGUCACUGGUUUUUUGAGUCGGAGGUUAAAAGGCUCAAUCAAGCGGACUAAGAGUCAGCCUAAACUGGAUAGGAACAGCAGUUUCAGACACAUCCUGCCAGGCUUCAGACCAGUGGACAACGAGAG